CGGGUGUAGCUCAGUUGGUUAGAGCGCCAGUUUGUGGUAUUGGAUGUCGCCGGUUCAAAUCCGGUCACU
Molecule: transfer RNA, 69 nt
Filed under: marine eukaryotic metagenome
Rfam family: tRNA
About the family: Transfer RNA (tRNA) molecules are approximately 80 nucleotides in length.
Source: RNAcentral